Molecule: ribosomal RNA, 440 nt
Filed under: uncultured bacterium
Lineage: Bacteria
Description: partial 16S ribosomal RNA
Rfam family: Bacterial small subunit ribosomal RNA
Source: RNAcentral
CCUACUGGUGGCAUCAUUGGGGUAUAUUGCACAAUGGGGGGAACCCUGAUGCACCAACGCCGCUCGCGUUCCUUCUCUUUUCUUCUCUUCCCUCCCUCUCUUCCUUUCCUCACAUGACGGUACCUGCCCAAGAAGCCCCGGCUAACAACGUGCCAGCAGCCGCGGUAAUACGAAGGGGGCAAGAGUGAUCCGGCUUUACUGGGUGUAAGGGGGGCGCGGAAGGCAAUGCAAGCCAGGAGUGAAUGCCCAGGGCCCAACCCCGGGACUGCCCUUGGAACUGCAUGGCUGGAGUGCAGGAGGGGCAGGUGGAAUUCCUAGUGUAGCGGUGAAAUGCGUAGAUAUUAGGAGGAACACCGGUGGCGAAGGCGGCCUGCUGGACUGUGACUGACGUUGAGGCCCGAAGGCGUGGGGAGCAAACAGGAUUAGAUAACACGGUAGUC